GAUGAACGCUGGCGGCAGGCCUAAUACAUGCAAGUCGAGCGAAAAGACGAGGAGCGUGCGCCUCUGACGUUAGCGGCGGGCGGGUGAGUAACACGUGGAUAACCUACCUAUAUUACUGGGAUGACUUCGGGGAACAGGAGCUGCUACCAGAGAAUAUAUUGUACGGCAGGGUUCAAUAGUUCAUGACGCCUUUGGCGUCACUUAUAGAUGGAUCCGUGGCGCCUUGGCUAGUUGGUAAGGUAACGGCUUACCAAGGCAACGUUGCGUAGCCGACCUGAGAGGGUGAUCAGCCACACUGGAACUGAGACACGGUCCAGACUCCUACGGGAGGCAGCAGUAGGGAAUCUUGCGCAAUGGGCGAAAGCCUGACCGAGCCACGCCGCGUGAGUGAAGAAGGCCUUCGGAUCGUAAAACUCUGUUAUUGGGAAAGAACAGAUGUGUAAGUAACUACGGACGUCUUGACGGUACCCAAUCAGAAAGCAACGGCUAACUACGUG
Molecule: ribosomal RNA, 497 nt
Filed under: uncultured bacterium
Lineage: Bacteria
Description: partial 16S ribosomal RNA
Rfam family: Bacterial small subunit ribosomal RNA
Source: RNAcentral